This is a long non-coding RNA of Mytilus trossulus (common blue mussel), 379 nucleotides long. RefSeq lists it as uncharacterized. NCBI's taxonomy places the organism in Eukaryota, Metazoa, Mollusca, Bivalvia, Mytilida, Mytilidae. The transcript has 4 exons. The record is from RefSeq and is a predicted model, not a curated record.
CAAUCCAUGUGCGGCUAAUCCGUGUAAGAAUGGUGGCACAUGUGAAGUUCGUCCAGAUUAUUCCUACAGAUGUGCAUGUACUCCAAACAGUAGAGGUUCACAUUGUCAAUACUCUUGCAUCAAAGAAUGGAUACUGCAUGAGACAACGUGUUACUACUUCAGCACCUUUGGAGUUAAUUGGUUGCGUGCACAGAAUUAUUGUAUCAAUAACAAUGGUAGGCUGGCUGAACCUGGCUCUUACUCUAAGAUAUCAUUUUUGAAAAGCAAAGCAGCGGGAUUUAAAACAACUUUUUGACUUGGAGGCACUGAUAGAAUUACAGAAGGUUCAUUUAAAUGGGUCACUAGCAAGUCAUACAUUCGUUAUACUGAUUGGGCACCA